This 510-nucleotide ribosomal RNA is filed under the name uncultured Actinomycetes bacterium. RNAcentral describes it as "bacterial SSU rRNA". It matches the Rfam family "Bacterial small subunit ribosomal RNA", at positions 376 to 896 of the family's 1533-position model. Lineage: Bacteria; Bacillati; Actinomycetota; Actinomycetes. The record is from RNAcentral.
CGAAAGCCUGAUCCAGCAACGCCGCGUGAGGGAUGACGGCCUUCGGGUUGUAAACCUCUUUCAGCAGGGACGAAGCGCAAGUGACGGUACCUGCAGAAGAAGCACCGGCCAACUACGUGCCAGCAGCCGCGGUAAUACGUAGGGUGCGAGCGUUGUCCGGAAUUAUUGGGCGUAAAGGGCUCGUAGGCGGUUUGUCGCGUCGGGAGUGAAAACUCAGGGCUUAACCCUGAGCCUGCUUCCGAUACGGGCAGACUAGAGGUAUGCAGGGGAGAACGGAAUUCCUGGUGUAGCGGUGAAAUGCGCAGAUAUCAGGAGGAACACCGGUGGCGAAGGCGGUUCUCUGGGCAUUACCUGACGCUGAGGAGCGAAAGUGUGGGGAGCGAACAGGAUUAGAUACCCUGGUAGUCCACACCGUAAACGUUGGGCGCUAGGUGUGGGACUCAUUCCACGAGUUCCGUGCCGCAGCUAACGCAUUAAGCGCCCCGCCUGGGGAGUACGGCCGCAAGGCUA